UACGUAGGGUGCGAGCGUUGUCCGGAAUUACUGGGCGUAAAGAGCUCGUAGGUGGUUUGUCGCGUCGUCUGUGAAAUUCCAGGGCUUAACUUCGGGCGUGCAGGCGAUACGGGCAAUACUUGAGUGCUGUAGGGGAGACUGGAAUUCCUGGUGUAGCGGUGGAAUGCGCAGAUAUCAGGAGGAACACAGAUGGCGAAGGCAGGUCUCUGGGCAGUAACUGACGCUGAGGAGCGAAAGCAUGGGUAGCGAACAGGA
Molecule: ribosomal RNA, 255 nt
Filed under: uncultured prokaryote
Description: partial 16S ribosomal RNA
Rfam family: Bacterial small subunit ribosomal RNA
Source: RNAcentral